GACGAACGCUGGCGGCGUGCCUAAUACAUGCAAGUAGAACGCACAGUUUAUACCGUAGCUUGCUACACCAUAGACUGUGAGUUGCGAACGGGUGAGUAACGCGUAGGUAACCUGCCUGGUAGCGGGGGAUAACUAUUGGAAACGAUAGCUAAUACCGCAUAAUAUUGAUUAUUGCAUGAUAAUUGAUUGAAAGAUGCUAUUGCAUCACUACCAGAUGGACCUGCGUUGUAUUAGCUAGUAGGUGAGGUAACGGCUCACCUAGGCGACGAUACAUAGCCGACCUGAGAGGGUGAUCGGCCACACUGGGACUGAGACACGGCCCAGACUGCUACGGGAGGCAGCAGUAGGGAAUCUUCGGCAAUGGACGAAAGUCUGACCGAGCAACGCCGCGUGAGUGAAGAAGGUUUUCGGAUCGUAAAGCUCUGUUGUAAGAGAAGAACGGGUGUGAGAGUGGAAAGUUCACACUGUGACGGUAUCUUACCAGAAAGGGACGGCUAACUACGUG
This 505-nucleotide ribosomal RNA is filed under the name uncultured bacterium. RNAcentral's name for it is "partial 16S ribosomal RNA". It matches the Rfam family "Bacterial small subunit ribosomal RNA", at positions 28 to 507 of the family's 1533-position model. The record is from RNAcentral.